AUUGAACGCUGGCGGCAUGCUUUACACAUGCGAGUCGAACGGCAGCGCGGGCUUCGGCCUGGCGGCGAGUGGCGAACGGGUGAGUAAUACAUCGGAACGUGCCCAGUAGUGGGGGAUAGCUCGGCGAAAGCCGGAUUAAUACCGCAUACGACCUGAGGGUGAAAGCGGGGGAUCUUCGGACCUCGCGCUAUUGGAGCGGCCGAUGGCAGAUUAGCUAGUUGGUGGGGUAAAGGCCUACCAAGGCGACGAUCUGUAGCUGGUCUGAGAGGACGACCAGCCACACUGGGACUGAGACACGGCCCAGACCCCUACGGGAGGCAGCAGUGGGGAAUUUUGGACAAUGGGCGAAAGCCUGAUCCAGCAAUGCCGCGUGUGUGAUGAAGGCCUUCGGGUUGUAAAGCACUUUUGGCGGGAACGAAAAGGACUGUGCCAAUACCACGGUUCGAUGACGGUACCCGCAGAAUAAGCACCGGCUAACUACGUG
Molecule: ribosomal RNA, 484 nt
Filed under: uncultured bacterium
Lineage: Bacteria
Description: partial 16S ribosomal RNA
Rfam family: Bacterial small subunit ribosomal RNA
Source: RNAcentral